AUUUAAGGUAUGUGGGAGGAAUUGAGCAGGUUCUCUAUAAACACUAUUGUCAUUUUAUCUAAGGACUUGAGUCUUCCCAGCAUUUGGUAUCUUUGGUGAUCCUGAAAUAGACCCCUGUGGGUGCCAAGGAUGACUCUAUCUAAUGAAAUUCACAUUAUAAUAUGAACUUACAAAUGAUACCACCAAGUGACCCGAGAAUUCAGAGUCCCAUCACUAACUGAGAAACCAUAAGCUGGGUAGCUUGAAAAGAGAGAGGGGAUGCCUGGACCACAUGAAGAACUUCAGAAGUGCUUGUCCUGUCCUUGCUAGUGGUUGUCCAGUUGGUGUCUGUUAAGGUCUGUAAACAAGUCAGGAUGGCGCCUGGCAUUUUGCAGAGGGAGUGGUUUGUGAAGUAACGCCAGCGAGCCAUUAAGUGUGGAGAUUCCUUAUUGGUUGACUGCUGUAUCUAGUUUAUGUUAAUUAGAUAAGCUGUGUGGAAUGUAUAUAUACCCCUCCUGUCCUACAAUAAACGGCUCCCACUCCUGCUGUAUCAAUGUACACAAGUUCCUCAUCACCCCCCGGUUAUUUUGCUGCAGCCGGACUGCGGCAGGUAUCAUUUAGGGACAUCUGUGGAUAUAGAGAAAAAAGGAUGGUUAGUUCCCUCCUCCCUCAGCAGCUCUCAGCCCACAUGUUCCGUGACUCCCCCAGCUUGGGACAGAAUGGAAACCCGAGCAGAAUAAAGUUGAGUCAAUCAUUGGUCAAGGCACCCAGUCAGCAGCUGGUGAGGUCGUCAGCUGGGGGCCAGGUGAUGCCCAGUGGGUGUGACUCACUCUCUCCCCUCUUUCCUGGUGACUGAGCUUCCAGACUGGAGACACUGGGCUGCCUUCCUCUGACACCCGUGGUAACUUUGGUUGGAAGGGAAAACAUCUGGGGUAGCUUCCGGGAGCAAUCUCCAAAGACCGAAAGGGAUAAUCAGGCUUCAUAAAUUGGGUUGACUAGACAAUGAAAUAUUUAUUGUGAUUCCCUCCUCUCUCUCUCUUUUUGAAGUUCAAAAAUCCUUGUCAUCCUGGGAUGAAGCCUGUGUACACAUGAGAAGAAUUCACAAUUAGCUCAGAAGUAGCCUGUUACCACUGACUGAUGACCUCCACCCGCAGCCGGCAGAAGGCAGGGUGGGACCUGCACAUGCGCUCCACUUAAUUGUCUGGUUUUUUUUUUUUUACUCCCCUAAUAAAACAGAAAAGUCCAUGAAACAAAAGAAAGCAAUCAAAUAAAUAAAUAAAUGAG
Molecule: long non-coding RNA, 1263 nt
Filed under: Marmota monax (woodchuck)
Lineage: Eukaryota; Metazoa; Chordata; Mammalia; Rodentia; Sciuridae
Source: RNAcentral